This 440-nucleotide ribosomal RNA is filed under the name uncultured bacterium. RNAcentral describes it as "partial 16S ribosomal RNA". It matches the Rfam family "Bacterial small subunit ribosomal RNA", at positions 338 to 795 of the family's 1533-position model. The record is from RNAcentral.
CCUACGGGUGGCAGCAGUGGGGAAUAUUGCACAAUGGAGGGAACUCUGAUGCAGCGACGCCGCGUGAGUGAAGAAGUAAUUCGUUAUGUAAAGCUCUAUCAGCAGGGAAGAAAGUGACGGUACCUGAAAAAGAAGCUCCGGCUAAAUACGUGCCAGCAGCCGCGGUAAUACGUAUGGAGCAAGCGUUAUCCGGAUUUACUGGGUGUAAAGGGAGAGUAGGUGGCAGAGCAAGUCCGAAGUGAAAACCCAAAGCUCAACUAUGGGAAUGCUUUAGAAACUGCUCAGCUAGAGUGCAGGAGAGGCAAGUGGAAUUCUUAGUGCAGCGGUGAAAUGCGUAGAUAUUAGGAGGAACACCAGUGGCGAAGGCAGCUUACUAAACUGUGACUGACAUUGAUGCUCGAAAGUGUGGGUAUCAAACAGGAUUAGAUACCCUGGUAGUC